AUGCAAGUCGAACGCUGAAGCACCAGCUUGCUGGUGUGGAUGAGUGGCGAACGGGUGAGUAAUACGUGAGUAACCUGCCCUUGACUCUGGGAUAAGCCCGGGAAACUGGGUCUAAUACUGGAUGCUACAUGUCACCGCAUGGUGGUGUGUGGAAAGGGUUUACUGGUCUUGGAUGGGCUCACGGCCUAUCAGCUUGUUGGUGAGGUAAUGGCUCACCAAGGCGACGACGGGUAGCCGGCCUGAGAGGGUGACCGGCCACACUGGGACUGAGACACGGCCCAGACUCCUACGGGAGGCAGCAGUGGGGAAUAUUGCACAAUGGGCGAAAGCCUGAUGCAGCGACGCCGCGUGAGGGAUGACGGCCUUCGGGUUGUAAACCUCUUUCAGCAGGGAAGAAGCCACAAGUGACGGUACCUGCAGAAGAAGCGCCGGCUAACUACGUGCCAGCAGCCGCGGUAAUACGUAGGGCGCAAGCGUUGUCCGGAAUUAUUGGGCGUAAAGAGCUCGUAGGCGGUUUGUCGCGUCUGCUGUGAAAGCCCGGGGCUUAACCCCGGGUGUGCAGUGGGUACGGGCAGACUAGAGUGCAGUAGGGGAGACUGGAAUUCCUGGUGUAGCGGUGGAAUGCGCAGAUAUCAGGAGGAACACCGAUGGCGAAGGCAGGUCUCUGGGCUGUUACUGACGCUGAGGAGCGAAAGCAUGGGGAGCGAACAGGAUUAGAUACCCUGGUAGUCCAUGCCGUAAACGUUGGGCACUAGGUGUGGGGGACAUUCCACGUUUUCCGCGCCGUAGCUAACGCAUUAAGUGCCCCGCCUGGGGAGUACGGCCGCAAGGCUAAAA
RNAcentral lists this ribosomal RNA (837 nucleotides) under Kocuria palustris. Its description in RNAcentral is "bacterial SSU rRNA". It matches the Rfam family "Bacterial small subunit ribosomal RNA", at positions 55 to 899 of the family's 1533-position model. Lineage: Bacteria; Bacillati; Actinomycetota; Actinomycetes; Micrococcales; Micrococcaceae. The record is from RNAcentral.